UAUAAUAAGUCCAUCAAUAGAUAUACUGCAUGGCUGCUUGCAGACAAGGCAGUAUAUCUAUUAGAUGGGCAAACAGACAUGAGCAAGUAAAUAAGUUCGCAAAGCUGAACUUAUCGGAUUGCGAAUGGCUGUCAGAAUUUUCGCGAGUGCGCAAGCACGGAGAAAAUUCUGUUAUUAUA
RNAcentral lists this small RNA (179 nucleotides) under Firmicutes bacterium CAG:882. RNAcentral's name for it is "Clostridiales-1 RNA". It matches the Rfam family "Clostridiales-1 RNA". Lineage: Bacteria; Bacillati; Bacillota. The record is from Rfam by way of RNAcentral.